Molecule: long non-coding RNA, 2214 nt
Organism: Hippocampus zosterae (dwarf seahorse)
Lineage: Eukaryota; Metazoa; Chordata; Actinopteri; Syngnathiformes; Syngnathidae
Exons: 2
Source: RefSeq, a predicted model, not a curated record
AUUCAUCAACAACACCCAGAAACGCUGCCGGCUUCUCUGGGCCCGAGCUCAUUGAAGAUGGGCUGAUGCAAAGUAGAACGGUAUUCUGUGGUAUGUCGAGUUCCAUAUUUCAACAUGUUUUUGGGAAUUGUGGCCAUCGUGUCCUCCGGGCCAAAGAGGAAAAGAACCAUACUAAAUGUUAUGGACACAAAGUCCACGAGUCGGCAUCUGUGAUUGUAUGGGGCUGUGUUCGUGCCAAUGGCAUGUUUUUUUUCCACAUCUCCGAAGACACAAUUAAUGCUGAAAGGAGAGCUGGAUAAAGCGGUUGGGGAAAGGGAAUGAUCGGCUACCAUGCUACACCGGCUGACCACACAACCCGACCCUGGAUAAGUGGAAGAAAAUGGAAGGGCGCACCUAAGUAGUAUUAGAAACAUUUUAAGCAUGAUGGUGCAUUUUAAAACCAAGUAAACCUAAAAAUAAAGGCAUUUCUUAAAAGAAAAAAGGGGAAAAAAGCAGAUACACAACAGUCAUGGGAUUUGGCACCAAUGCCCACUGGUUCAUGCCUGAAUGUAACAUUCGAAAUGAUUAUCAUCCUCUUGUGUUUUAAUUUCAUUUUGUUCUCUUCUGCAGAAGCAUUAUGACGAACACUUACCAGUAAGAAUGAUGUUGGGCAGCCCUCCGCUGCAGUUGGAGUACAGCAUGCUAGAAGCCAUUUGCCUGGGCUCAUGCAGGUUGCCAUGGCUGCCCCCAAGCCCUGCGAGGGCUGACUGGGAGGAGUACAGAGAGGACAGGGAAGGGUCGAAGAAAGAGCCACCCGCUGUGGAGUUCAUCGCAUUUUCCAACAUACUGAACUGGUCCGACUAGCCGGCAGAUGGUUCAGAAAGAGAGCAAAAAGCAGAAAACUCUCUCAGUAUCAAUGCAUCCUAUUACAAGCCAUUUCAAUGAUCAUAUCCAUUAAACACAUUGCAUUUUGAUCCAUAGGGUGCAACCUAUUUUUGUUGUGAUUGACAGGGUUCAUCCAGCUUAAGGAAAAUUAAAUGUAAGACUUUUUUUAAUUCAAUAUUUUCAUGGUUAGUACGACCAUCAAUUUACUUUUCAAGGGAAUUCUCAUCCAUAAUUCUGAAAAUUACAGUUGUAUUCACACAGUAUAAGCCAGCUUUUAUUUUAUAGGGAGGAAUAUUUGGUCUUACAACCACAACAUAAGAUGAAUACAAUAUAAUAAUCAAAACUCCAAGGCAAAAGAAUGCUGCGGUGCAUCUUUAUGACAUGAAACAAGAACGCGAUCAAAUUGAAAUAAGGGUGGGAUGAAUACAAAAAUGAUUCACAAACAACAUUCAAUAAAAGAUGGUUGAUUUGUGUAAUAUCUCCGAUUCCUUUUUCCCAUUUUAGUCAGAAAUACACUUGUAGUCGUAUGGCAAAAGCAAUUCUUUCCAUCUUGAAAAUGUCACACACAAUGUCAAUCCAUUCAUCAGUCAUAGGUUUUCCUCGUCUUGAACACCACCUCUGAACGGCUUUCCUCCAAGCAGCACGAAGAAUGCGAAAAAGGUAUUUAUGCCCUGGUGGCAGAGCCACUAAAUAUAAACAAAAUACAAUAGAAAGUAUUUGAGACAAGAGCAAAAUAUGUGAAAAUGAUUUGUGCCAUUUAUCUCAAUGCAUCCACGCUGCCUCCGACAGGCAGGUGCAUUUGUAUCAUGUCUUUUUAGAGCUGGUGUUAGAAAAGACCUAAUGUGACUUUUCCAUCAGAACUCUCUUCAUCGUGGUGAACUUGAAACCGUCCACUGAAACACGCGUCACUGUUCCCGGUCUUCUCCAAAUUGAAUUGUCUGUUUAGAUUUUGAAAACUGUUUCAUUACAGCUACAGUACAUAAAAGGAGUUCGAAGAUGUAUGCGUGUUAAUACCGUACUGGCCCGAAUAGAAGACGGCCCUGAUUAUAAGACGACCCCCUCUUUUUCAAGACUCAAGUUUGAAAAAAGACUUUUUGAACACCAAAUUAAUUUUUAUACAGAAAAUAAUGACAGUACAUCUGCAACAAAUGAUUAUAACAAUAUAUUUGAUAUGUUAUUGAUUUGUUAUUUUGCCUCAUUCAAAUCUCAAUAUCUGAACAUUGAAAUAUGUAAACUAAAGUGCAAUCACAUUCGUAAAUAAAUGGCUUCUGGUUUUUUAAAUGUAAAUUACAUCACAACUUCUGAGCUGCCGGUUAACCUGGUCGAUCUUUGACCCACUUUUCUCCAGAU